CCUAUAAUGCAUCAGGCAUUGUUCUCUUCCAGGAAUGCCUCCACCUCCAAACUGCUACAUUAAAGAAAGUUUGCAAGUUCCCUGAAGGACAGAUACGGAAGAUUAUAAAACCAGCUUCUAGUUUGUCUCCAUGUGGAAGUUCAGCCUUCUGGCCUCUCCCGCACCUCUUCAGUAUCUAUCCUCCUACCGAGCACCCAUCUGAUGGAUCUCUCCCCACUGCAACCCACCCUCCUCUCCAGGACCACUUUUUCUUGCCUGUAAUUCUGGCCUUAGGAAUGCCCAGAGGAGAUCUGUACCCAAAAAGUAUGUUUGAGCAAAGCUAAGUCUCCAGAAUAAAGAUAAUCCCAAUUUACAAGUCAGCCA
RNAcentral lists this long non-coding RNA (363 nucleotides) under Homo sapiens (human). RNAcentral's name for it is "HSALNT0326863". The record is from RNAcentral. Lineage: Eukaryota; Metazoa; Chordata; Mammalia; Primates; Hominidae.